RNAcentral lists this long non-coding RNA (845 nucleotides) under Phascolarctos cinereus (koala). RNAcentral describes it as "lncRNA (ENSPCIG00000036087.1)". The record is from RNAcentral. Lineage: Eukaryota; Metazoa; Chordata; Mammalia; Diprotodontia; Phascolarctidae.
AUGGGGGGGGGGAAGCGUAGCAUGAUGUGGGUUGGCCGCCUACAGAAAGUACAUCUAAGGCUGAGUCCCAAGCCCGUCCACUUCUGCCGGCCCGCGCCCCCUGACCCUUGCCGGGGCACAGUGGGGGGGGGGUGCAAGCCCAGGACCCACACUCCAACCAGCCAAGGCAGGAUCUCCGCGGCUGAUACAGGCUCCUCGGUCUCUGGGGGUCGCCCACGGAGCCCGACCUUCCCUUUCCAGCCGGGACCAACUGCAGAACUUGGGGCGCAGGAUUUCUGCAGGAUCCUGGGUCCCUCCCUCCAGACCUUCCUUCUGGGCUGUGUAGAAAACCCGGCCAACCUAGCAGAGCCCGUCGGAACUGCUCCACGAGGCUGGCAGGAGGGCACAGGGAGCCUCAAGAAUAGAAGAAACCUUGUGAAAAACAAUGUGGUUUGCUCCCCAAGUUAAAACAACGACAAAAAAGCAACAACAUCUCUUGAGGACAUUCAAGACCCUUCAUCUCGCCAAGCUGGGCACUUUAAAUAGGCCACAGGUCCCCCAGGAUUCAUGGGAGCCAACUGAUUCAGAGACUUAAGCAAACAGCGCUGAAGUUUCCGUGCUGGUUUCAUUUUAAGCUUUUAAAUCGAAAGAGAAAAUGGUCUUCACUGCUAACAGGGAUAGAGACUGGACCUGUGGUUUACUUGGAUGGGAGACUUUUAGGUGAGAAAACUCCUCCUACAAAGCCAGUUCCAGUUGGUAUCUCCUCUAUAAUUUAUAAUCUUAGAGAAUGACCCAGGACAGAGGUGCCAGAUCAGAUUAAAUGUAUUUGGGAAAUACUUAAUAAAAUAAAUGAAAAUAAUAGACCA